This 502-nucleotide ribosomal RNA is filed under the name uncultured bacterium. Its description in RNAcentral is "partial 16S ribosomal RNA". It matches the Rfam family "Bacterial small subunit ribosomal RNA", at positions 28 to 507 of the family's 1533-position model. The record is from RNAcentral.
GAUUAACGCUGGCGGCGUGCCUAACACAUGCAAGUCGAGCGGCAGCGCGUUUUACACUGCAUGGUGGAAGCUGCCAGUUGAAAGAGAAGAUUUAUUCAAGAAUUCUUGGUAAAAUGUCUGCGAGCGGCGGACGGCGGAUUAUCGCGUGUGAACGUACCCCAAAGUAGGGGAUAACGCACCGAAAUGUGUGCUAAUACCUCAUAGGGGCUUCGGUUUAAAGUCUGCGGGCUCAUUGGGAACGGGCUGCGUAAGAUUAGAUAGGUGUUGGGGUAAUGGCCUACGAAGUCGACGCUCUCUAACUGGGUAGAGAGGAUGGUCAGUCAGACUGGCACUGAGACGCAGUCGAGACUCCUACGGGAGGGAGCAGUGAGGAAUCCACCAAAAUGGGGGAUAGGAUGAUGGCGCAACGCUGGGUGAAGGAUGAAGUCCUUAGGGUAGUACACUGCUCUUAUACGUGAGGAUUAUGACAGUAACUGAUGAAUAAGGAUCGGCUAACUACGUG